This 245-nucleotide ribosomal RNA is filed under the name uncultured bacterium. Its description in RNAcentral is "partial 16S ribosomal RNA". It matches the Rfam family "Bacterial small subunit ribosomal RNA", at positions 118 to 348 of the family's 1533-position model. The record is from RNAcentral.
UGAGUAACCUGCCCUUAACUCUGGGAUAAGCCUGGGAAACUGGGUCUAAUACCGGAUAUGACUCCUCAUCGCAUGGUGGGGGGUGGAAGGCUUUUUUGUGGUUUUUGGAUGGACUCGCGGCCUAUCAGCUUGUUGGUGGGGUAAUAGCUCACCAAGGCGAUGACGGGUAGCCGGCCUGAGAGGGUGACCGGGCCACACGUGGGACUGGACGACCGACCGGCCCACGACCGUCCGUACGGGAGCAG